AGCAGCCGCGGUAAUUCCAGACUCCAAUAGCGUAUAUUAAAGUUGUUGCAGUUAAAAAGCUCGUAGUUGAAUUUCGAGAUCAAAUUGUUGGUCGUGCCUUGGUACGCACUGGCAUUAUUGGUUUCUCCCUUCUAACGAACCAUGAUGUCAUUAAUUUGGUGUCAUGGGAAAUCAGGACUGUUACUUUGAAAAAAUUAGAGUGUUUAAAGCAGGCUCGCGCUUGAAUACAUUAGCAUGGAAUAAUGAAAUAGGACGUUUGAUUCUAUUUUGUUGGUUUCUAGGGAUCGACGUAAUGAUUAAUAGGGAUAGUUGGGGGGCAUUAGUAUUCAAUUGUCAGAGGUGAAAUUCUUGGAUUUAUUGAAGACUAACUACUGCGAAAGCAUUUGCCAAGGAUGUUUUCAUUAAUCAAGAACGAAAGUUAGGGGAUCGAAGACGAUCAGAUACCGUCGUAGUCUUAACCAUAAACUAUGCCGACUAGGGAUCGGAUGAUGUUAAUUUUUUUAAUGACUCAUUCGGCGCCUUACG
This 525-nucleotide ribosomal RNA is filed under the name uncultured Glomus. RNAcentral's name for it is "SSU rRNA". It matches the Rfam family "Eukaryotic small subunit ribosomal RNA", at positions 569 to 1092 of the family's 1831-position model. Lineage: Eukaryota; Fungi; Glomeromycota; Glomeromycetes; Glomerales; Glomeraceae. The record is from RNAcentral.